GGGCCCGUAGCUCAGUCGGCAGAGCAACGCCCUUUUAAGGCGUGGGUCGUGCGUUCGAUUCGCACCGGGCUCACCA
This 76-nucleotide transfer RNA is filed under the name Pseudomonadota bacterium. RNAcentral describes it as "tRNA-Lys". It matches the Rfam family "tRNA". From Rfam's summary of the family: Transfer RNA (tRNA) molecules are approximately 80 nucleotides in length. Their secondary structure includes four short double-helical elements and three loops (D, anti-codon, and T loops). The record is from RNAcentral. RNAcentral also lists the same sequence under 1 other name. Lineage: Bacteria; Pseudomonadati; Pseudomonadota.